CCUACGGGAGGCAGCAGUGGGGGAUAUUGCACAAUGGGGGAAACCCUGAUGCAGCGACGCCGCGUGUGGGAAGACGGUCCUCUGGAUUGUAAACCACUGUCCCCAGGGACGAAGAUGACGGUACCUGGGGAGGAAGCUCCGGCUAACUACGUGUCAGCAGCCGCGGUAAUACGUAGGGAGCGAGCGUUGUCCGGAAUUACUGGGUGUAAAGGGAGCGUAGGCGGGACUGCAAGUUGGGUGGUAAAUCUACCGGCUCAACCGUGGAAUUGCAGUUGAAACUGGAGGCCUUGAGUGCACACAGGGAUGCCGGAAUACAUGGUGUAGCGGUGAAAUGCUUAGAUAUCAUGAAGAACUCCGAUCGCGAAGGCAAGUGUCCGGGGUGCAACUGACGCUGAGGCACGAGAGUGCGGGUAUCAAACAGGAUUAGAUACCCCAGUAGUC
RNAcentral lists this ribosomal RNA (441 nucleotides) under uncultured bacterium. RNAcentral describes it as "partial 16S ribosomal RNA". It matches the Rfam family "Bacterial small subunit ribosomal RNA", at positions 338 to 795 of the family's 1533-position model. The record is from RNAcentral.